This 329-nucleotide unclassified non-coding RNA is filed under the name soil metagenome. Its description in RNAcentral is "partial contains 5.8S ribosomal RNA, internal transcribed spacer 2, and large subunit ribosomal RNA". The stretch from base 1 to 120 matches the Rfam family "5.8S ribosomal RNA", at positions 35 to 154 of the family's 154-position model. The record is from RNAcentral.
GAUGAAGAACGUAGCGAAAUGCGAUAAGUAAUGUGAAUUGCAGAAUUCAGUGAAUCAUCGAAUCUUUGAACGCACAUUGCGCCCCCUGGUAUUCCGGGGGGCAUGCCUGUUCGAGCGUCAUUUCACCACUCAAGCCUCGCUUGGUAUUGGGCAACGCGGUCCGCCGCGUGCCUCAAAUCGACCGGCUGGGUCUUCUGUCCCCUAAGCGUUGUGGAAACUUUCGCUAAGGGUGUUCGGGAGGCUACGCCGUAAAACAACCCCAUUUCUAAGGUUGACCUCGGAUCAGGUAGGGAUACCCGCUGAACUUAAGCAUAUCAAUAAGCGGAGGA